Molecule: unclassified non-coding RNA, 306 nt
Filed under: uncultured Dothideomycetes
Lineage: Eukaryota; Fungi; Ascomycota; Dothideomycetes
Description: sequence contains ITS1
Rfam family: 5.8S ribosomal RNA (bases 1-105)
Source: RNAcentral
GAAAUGCGAUAAGUAGUGUGAAUUGCAGAAUUCAGUGAAUCAUCGAAUCUUUGAACGCACAUUGCACCUCUCGGUAUUCCGGGAGGUAUGCCUGUUCGAGCGUCAUUUGUACCCUCAAGCUCUGCUUGGUGUUGGGUGUUUGUUCCGCCUCUGUGCGUGGACUCGCCUCAAAACAAUUGGCAGCCGGCGUACUUUUUUCGGAGCGCAGCAGAUUUUUGCGCCCUGGAUCAACGUACAGCGGCAUCCAAGAAGCCUUAUUUUAACGCUCUUGACCUCGGAUCAGGUAGGGAUACCCGCUGAACUUAA